Molecule: long non-coding RNA, 2110 nt
Filed under: Portunus trituberculatus (swimming crab)
Lineage: Eukaryota; Metazoa; Arthropoda; Malacostraca; Decapoda; Portunidae
Description: uncharacterized LOC123507595
Source: RNAcentral
AGCAGCAGCAGCAUCAGCCUGUGAGAUUUCCUUCUGAGAAAUGGAUAGGGGGCGAUGACGUAGCGAUGCCCAAGGUCCACAACACAGCUAAUGGCCAAGCAUCACCGCGACCGCCCAAUGAAGGCCUUCCCUCCUGACCACGGGUCAGCGCAGCGCCAGGCAUCUCCCCAGACCAUCGAGGACGCCUGCUGAGUGAAAGCGUCGGGGCAAAAGGGCCACGAAGAUGAGUCACUGUGAGAGCAGGAAAGAAGCUCAUGAGUAAAUAUAUUAACUGGGAACGUUUGAGAGGGAGGAGCAAUACAAGUGAUGAAUAGAAAAAUAACUAUUCCGAAGGUGUUUUCCUCCAUUACAUCCGUAUCACAAAACUAAAGUUCGUAUCUAUUAGUUCGGAAAAAUAAUACCGUAACGUGUGCGGAGAGACAACAUAGAAGUGAAGGAUAUAGUGGUGGAUAGAAACUGUUUGAAGGGGUAUUUACUCUUCCCAAUCCAUCUGCAGUACAAACAAUAGUCUAUAUCCAUUAUUGGUUCAGAAAGGUAGCGUGGUGAGGGGCGCAGAGCAGAAUGGGAGGCGGAUUGCUUGCCUGCUGCUCCUCUCCCUUCCUCCCACCUCGUCCUUGAUUGUCAUGUGGUAAUAAAGUGACGCCCAUAUUCAAAAAUUCCUUGCUUUCUCACCAUGACAAUUUUCCAAGGCCAGAGAGACAACGAACCAGGUUUUCAAGACAGUUUCUCUUUAUAAUAAACAGGAAAUCUUGCCAAACCAUCACCAGAACCACAAAAAUACUAUUAAAAAUACGAGUAUCUUCAAUUACAGCCUUUGGAAAGUUGUGAUGGUGAGGGCAAAGCGUUUCAGAAUACGGGCCAUGAUGAAUGUUUGGCAGACGAACGUUCUGUUGUUUCAGCUUCCUGUCAGUCCUGCUGAUUGUAGAUUACUUAUUUUGUUAUGUAAAUGUUCGAUAUUUUAAUGAUUUAGUUUUGUACUUAAUUUUAUACUAAGUCUUGUUCUUUGCCUUCCUUUCUUUAUUACGUCACAAAUUUAUGCUCCUGUGGUUUGCUCAGAGAUACUUUUCUGCAUUAUAUUAGUUUUUUUCGCAAAUUCAACCUAUCUGUACCUAUUAACAUGACAUGACAAACAGCAACUCUCUCUCUCUCUCUCUCUCUCUCUCUCUCUCUCUCUCUCUCUCGGGCAUUGUGUCACGUGUCGAGGCACUGCGGGAUGUCCUGUAAAUUAUUUUCAUUACUCAGGAAAUUUCAGAUCUCACUCACGGUACACGAGGCGUCGGCGAUCGCUUAGGUUUGGAUCAGAAAGCGAGUGACUUCCUGCACUACCUCCACUAAUUAGCGUCAAAAUACUGUAUUGUAGUGUCUUGAAACUGUCUUGAAAGAGAUCACAGAAAGGAGGCAAUACAGAAACAGGGAGUGAGUUCCAGGUGAAUUAUUGUGAAGUGUUCUGGUAAGGUGGUGAGGAAUACUCGUAAUUCAGAGUGCAAAAUGUUUAAGAGAUAAAUGUGUGGGGAAACAGUAGUGAGUCCCGAGGAAGGCAGCAAGAGGUGGUGGUGGUGGUGGUGGCCAGGUGGUGCAGGUGGUGAUGGUGGUGGUGGCGUGCAGCGUGCAGGUGGUGGAUUAUGGUAAAAAUUGUCAGAAAGUGAACGGUCUUAUCUCUGUAGACUUCACCGUUUAUCAGAGUGUUUCAUCCUGUGUUCCAAAAUGCUGACUGUUGGUUUGUUCCCGUUCUUGUGUGUGUGUGUGUGUGUGUGUGUGUGUGUGUGUGUGUGUGUGUGUGUGUGAUAGGUCAAGAGUUUUUGCACUCGUCUAUCUACCUCCUCGAUGUACAUAAACCAUUUAGAGUUAGGACAAAAUCGUCGACUGGGUGUUUAUGUCAUAUUUUGCAGCAACUUCGCAUAAAUUAUACACGUAGGUUAUAUUUGACAUUGGUUGUAUAGAUGAAAUGUGUAUGAGAGGAAUAUGGUGUGUGUGUGUGUGUGUGUGUGUGUGUGUGUGUGUGUGUGUGUGUGUGUGUGUGUUUACGGGGAUAUUUUACUUAUGGGUUUGUAGUGUGACCAAAAUUAGGGGAAACUGAUAUGCCAAAUGUGAGAAUAAAUUUUGUAUUAAU